RNAcentral lists this ribosomal RNA (428 nucleotides) under uncultured bacterium. Its description in RNAcentral is "bacterial SSU rRNA". It matches the Rfam family "Bacterial small subunit ribosomal RNA", at positions 354 to 796 of the family's 1533-position model. The record is from RNAcentral.
GUGGGGAAUUUUCCGCAAUGGGCGAAAGCCUGACGGAGCAAUACCGCGUGAGGGAGGAAGGCUCUUGGGUUGUAAACCUCUUUUCUGAGGGAAGAAAAAAAUGACGGUACCUCAGGAAUCAGCAUCGGCUAACUCCGUGCCAGCAGCCGCGGUAAUACGGAGGAUGCAAGCGUUAUCCGGAAUGAUUGGGCGUAAAGCGUCCGCAGGUGGCAAUUCAAGUCUGCGGUCAAAGGUCGAGGCUUAACCUCGAACAGGCCGUGGAAACUGAACAGCUAGAGUAUGGUAGGGGCAGAGGGAAUUCCCAGUGUAGCGGUGAAAUGCGUAGAGAUUGGGAAGAACACCGGUGGCGAAAGCGCUCUGCUAGGCCAAAACUGACACUGAGGGACGAAAGCUAGGGGAGCGAAUGGGAUUAGAUACCCCAGUAGUCC